Molecule: ribosomal RNA, 868 nt
Filed under: Microbacterium oxydans
Lineage: Bacteria; Bacillati; Actinomycetota; Actinomycetes; Micrococcales; Microbacteriaceae
Description: bacterial SSU rRNA
Rfam family: Bacterial small subunit ribosomal RNA
Source: RNAcentral
UGCAGUGGGUACGGGCAGACUAGAGUGCGGUAGGGGAGAUUGGAAUUCCUGGUGUAGCGGUGGAAUGCGCAGAUAUCAGGAGGAACACCGAUGGCGAAGGCAGAUCUCUGGGCCGUAACUGACGCUGAGGAGCGAAAGGGUGGGGAGCAAACAGGCUUAGAUACCCUGGUAGUCCACCCCGUAAACGUUGGGAACUAGUUGUGGGGUCCAUUCCACGGAUUCCGUGACGCAGCUAACGCAUUAAGUUCCCCGCCUGGGGAGUACGGCCGCAAGGCUAAAACUCAAAGGAAUUGACGGGGACCCGCACAAGCGGCGGAGCAUGCGGAUUAAUUCGAUGCAACGCGAAGAACCUUACCAAGGCUUGACAUAUACGAGAACGGGCCAGAAAUGGUCAACUCUUUGGACACUCGUAAACAGGUGGUGCAUGGUUGUCGUCAGCUCGUGUCGUGAGAUGUUGGGUUAAGUCCCGCAACGAGCGCAACCCUCGUUCUAUGUUGCCAGCACGUAAUGGUGGGAACUCAUGGGAUACUGCCGGGGUCAACUCGGAGGAAGGUGGGGAUGACGUCAAAUCAUCAUGCCCCUUAUGUCUUGGGCUUCACGCAUGCUACAAUGGCCGGUACAAAGGGCUGCAAUACCGCGAGGUGGAGCGAAUCCCAAAAAGCCGGUCCCAGUUCGGAUUGAGGUCUGCAACUCGACCUCAUGAAGUCGGAGUCGCUAGUAAUCGCAGAUCAGCAACGCUGCGGUGAAUACGUUCCCGGGUCUUGUACACACCGCCCGUCAAGUCAUGAAAGUCGGUAACACCUGAAGCCGGUGGCCUAACCCUUGUGGAGGGAGCCGUCGAAGGUGGGAUCGGUAAUUAGGACUAAGU